This is a small nucleolar RNA of Apodemus sylvaticus (European woodmouse), 104 nucleotides long. RefSeq annotates it as small nucleolar RNA U13. The record is from RefSeq and is a predicted model, not a curated record. The transcript has a single exon. NCBI's taxonomy places the organism in Eukaryota, Metazoa, Chordata, Mammalia, Rodentia, Muridae.
AUCCUUUCUGGUUCAUAAAGCGUGAUGAUUGGGUGUUCAUGCUAUUGCGUGACAUGUGCCGCCCAUAAUCCUUGUUACGACGUGGGCACAUUACCCGUCUGACG